RNAcentral lists this ribosomal RNA (450 nucleotides) under uncultured bacterium. RNAcentral's name for it is "bacterial SSU rRNA". It matches the Rfam family "Bacterial small subunit ribosomal RNA", at positions 29 to 526 of the family's 1533-position model. The record is from RNAcentral.
AACGAACGCUGGCGGCAGGCUUAACACAUGCAAGUCGAGCGCGUAGCAAUACGAGCGGCAGACGGGUGAGUAACGCGUGGGAAUCUACCCAUCUCUACGGAACAACUCCGGGAAACUGGAGCUAAUACCGUAUACGCCCUUCGGGGGAAAGAUUUAUCGGAGAUGGAUGAGCCCGCGUUGGAUUAGCUAGUUGGUGGGGUAAUGGCCUACCAAGGCGACGAUCCAUAGCUGGUCUGAGAGGAUGAUCAGCCACACUGGGACUGAGACACGGCCCAGACUCCUACGGGAGGCAGCAGUGGGGAAUAUUGGACAAUGGGCGCAAGCCUGAUCCAGCCAUGCCGCGUGAGUGAUGAAGGCCUUAGGGUUGUAAAGCUCUUUCGUCCGGGACGAUAAUGACGGUACCGGAAGAAGAAGCCCCGGCUAACUUCGUGCCAGCAGCCGCCGUAACAC